UACAGAGGUCCCAAGCGUUGUUCGGAUUCACUGGGCGUAAAGGGUGCGUAGGUGGUUAGGUAAGUCCGAUGUGAAAUCUCCAGGCUCAACCUGGAAAUGGCAUUGGAUACUAUUUAGCUUGAGGAGUGGAGGGGGGACUGGAAUUCUCGGUGUAGCAGUGAAAUGCGUAGAUAUCGAGAGGAACACCAGUGGCGAAGGCGGCGACCUGGGCCAAUAUUGACGCUGAGGUGCGAAAGCGUGGGGAGCAAACAGG
This 253-nucleotide ribosomal RNA is filed under the name uncultured bacterium. RNAcentral's name for it is "partial 16S ribosomal RNA". It matches the Rfam family "Bacterial small subunit ribosomal RNA", at positions 524 to 776 of the family's 1533-position model. The record is from RNAcentral.